Molecule: non-coding RNA, 142 nt
Organism: Caenorhabditis elegans
Lineage: Eukaryota; Metazoa; Nematoda; Chromadorea; Rhabditida; Rhabditidae
Source: Ensembl
UUAUUUUUAUCUCUCCGUCUCUCUAUUUUUCAUAAUCUUUUCACAUUCUCUUUGAAUAUAUAAUCCAGUAGUGAUGACGAAUGGGAUGAGAGGAAGAAGGAGAAGAAGUGCCACCCAAAAAGAGGAAACGACGAAAACUUUC